This is a long non-coding RNA of Balaenoptera acutorostrata (minke whale), 3217 nucleotides long. RefSeq lists it as uncharacterized. The transcript has 4 exons. The record is from RefSeq and is a predicted model, not a curated record. NCBI's taxonomy places the organism in Eukaryota, Metazoa, Chordata, Mammalia, Artiodactyla, Balaenopteridae.
GAUCCAAGGGCUGGAAACAAAAGAGGCAGCUCGGAACGGGGGGGAAAGCAGUUCCCCCUUACAGUGGGUUGAAUACCAUCCUCCUUAAUUCACGUCCACCCAGAACCUCAGAACGUGACCUUAUUUGGAAAUAGGGUCUUGGCGGAUGUAAUUAAAGUUCAGAUGAGGUCACGCUGGAUUAGGGAGGGUCCAACCCAAUGACUGGUGUCUUUAUAAGAAGAGAAACAGAGACAGACACGCACAGAGGAGAAGCCAUAUGAGGAUGGCCGGAGCUGGAGCGAGGCGUCCACCCGCCGAGGAACACCACGGAUUGCCUGCAGCCACGGGAAGCAGGGGAGAGGCCUGGGACGGACUCUCCUUGGCGGCCGCAGAAGGAACCAACCCUGCCGACUCCUUGAUCUCGGACUUCCAGCUUCUGAACGUGAGAGGCGUGUGGCUUUAAUACAAGAUGGCUGGAUUCUUCUGCUUCUGCACUCGAUCUGUUGUUUUAUAUUAUCUGGGUUGGUGUAUAAGAAGAAAAGCCGGCCUCACACAGUUCCAGGCGCAAGAUGAUCAGUUGGAUCAGAUGGAGAUCAGAUGGAAUUCACACUUUAACAUCAUUUCCAAAAGCCAGCCAUCCAAAUUCCAGACUCCGGUCUGGAAAAGGAUGGUUCUUCAACAGCUCGGAUGGAGGAGCAGGAAAGAGAGGGCAUCUUGGUUUGAGACCUGAACGUGUCCUUGGAAGUGACCUCGUCCUGCCUCCCUCCAGGGGGAGGGGGAGGCCUGUGCUUUGCUGGGAGGGACCUGUCACCUCUGCCCAGGGUGGCCCUGGAGUGCCUUGUGUGCCAUCCAGGCCCUGGCUGCCCUGGCCAGUGUCUGUUCCCACCCAGCUGAUCCAAACUCUUAGUCUGAAAUUUGCCUCCUGGGAUGCCCACUGCAGACAGAUGCCCACGGCGGGCAUGAGACUCCUCUGGUCCGUCCAGCGUCCCGCCGAGGGAGGAUCAGGGAUGAGUAAGCAGAAGGGCGGAGAAGGACAGCGACCUGAUGCAAGUCACACGGCUUAGGGCUGUGACCCCUGGGACCUGCGCAAGUGACCUUAAUGGGUGUUUGCAGAUGCAGUUACUUUAAGGGUCUCAAGAUGUGAUUACCUUGGAUUAGGGGGCCCUGAAUCCAAUGCCUGGUGUCCUUGUGAGAAAGCAGAGGGAGACGUGACACACAGGCACACGGGAGGGACGCAGCCACGGGCCAAGGAUGCCAGGAGCCACCAGCAGCUGAAAAGGAAGGAAGGAUCCACCCCCAGAACUCUGGGAGACAGCAUGGCCCUGCUGACACCUUGAUUCCAACUUCCAGCCUCCAGAACUGCUGUUUAAUCCACCCAGUGUGGUCAUGUGUUACGGCAGCCCCAGGACCCUGAUGCAGGCCCUGCAACUAUAGACUCGUUUCCAUGGAGACGUCCAGGGCUCAGAGGGUUCCUGACAGGCGUUUCCAAUAAUGGGAACUUCCACAGGCACUGAGGCCCGAGGCGGGAUCAGGCCUGGGCCUGAGGUUGACGCGCGUGUGCUGCUCCCUGGGCCCCGCCCCUGGCCACUGCCCGCUGCUCACCUGCUUACAGGGGCCUCGCCUGGAACUGAAUCCUGAACCCCAGAAUCUCUCCAACCUGGAGCAGGUCACAGAGCCCCGGACCUGGCCACACUCCACCCGGGCCUGGAGCUCGGGGCGUGGUUGGCUCUGAUGGGGUCCCCAGGGCAGUUCUGGCCGCGACAGAGUGGGGCCCGAGGGGCAGGGGACGCUUGUUGGACAAAGGCCCUGCCUCUACACAUGCCUCUUCAGAGGCAGCGACGCUCGGGGAAAGCGCCCGUGUGCCUUCAGCUGCACUGGCCCCCGCCCCAGGGCCUGGCCGGUCCUCUGUCUCCACGGUUCGGGCUCCCGCCCCAGGGUCUGGCCGGUCCUCUGUCUCCAUGGUUCGGGCGCCGAGCAUCCAGCAUCGUCACUGGCCUCGUCUCAGCCCCGAGCGCGUGCUGUGUGCAGGGAACUAGCAGAGGCACCUGCAGGCAUGAGCUCAGCUCACGGAACUUGCAAUCCAGCAGGAGGGAGCAAACCUGUGCUGCCGGCAGGAACCCGCAAGCGCCCGAGGGAAAUUCAAGUAGGGGACGGUGACCCGGGUCUCUGCAAGGAGGCAGUGCUGGUCCAAGUACAGGCAUCUCCUUGGGGAAGAGGCAGUCUGAAGAGGACCAGCGCAGUGGGUCCCCAGAGCCCCCUCUCGUUCGCCUGGGCUCUCCUGGGCCGGGGGCAGGGGCUCCUCGGGCCAGUCUAGGGGCUCCGGCGCCCCUCCAUCUGCUCCAGGUCAGCGGGACCGGCAGGCCCAGGCCAGCCUCCUUGAGAGUCUCAUGGUGCGGAGGACAAACUGUGUGCAGACUCGGAGGGCAAAACCCCUCCCCUUCCUUGAGGACGGACCUGGGACCCUCCCGCUGUGACGGGGAGAUUCCUACAGCUCAGACACGGGAACCCCUGCCCACGUCUUGUUGCUGGUGAAGCGCCAGGGCAGCGGGAGCCCAGCGCUCGGCCCAGCUCACGUCCAGUCCUCGGCCGUGGGCUGCCCCUGCGACUCCUGCCUCUGUGCCAGCCGAACCCAGUCUCCCCGUGUGCCCGUCAGGCCACCGCCAUCCACAGUGUCAGGCCUGAGUGCGUCCCUCUGGUCCAGGAACCCCUCCCCAUUCCCAAGCACAAGGCUUCAGCAGCUGUCGCCUCAUCCCAGCAUGGGGUUCAUUCAGCCCUGUGGGCUCCUCUGCCCCACUCGGUGUCUCCCAUCCAGGCCACUGCGGGCAGGGCCAGACUCAUUCACUUCCAUGGGUCCCGCGUAGGGAACAGGGGGCCACCACAGGCCACGUGGGGGUCGUACCCGCUCCACGCUGGGUGGACCUGGGGCCAAAUGAAAACGUGGGGCCUUGGUCAAGACUAUUGCAGGUGCCCAGGCAGUGACAGCAGCGUACCCACCCGGCGGGCCCUUCUGCGCACACCGGCCGCGAGCCGCGGGGCAGGCCCAGCAGCGGACACGCAGCCGCAGGUGGCGCGUUCUGCAUCGCGCUGGGGCCGGACUCGGGGCCCUUCCCUCCUCACCCUCAUCCCAGCAGCCCCCAACCACGCCCCACUUUCUUGGGAUGCUUUAAUUUCUCACGCAUUCUGAACAGAGAAGCGUGAACGUGCACCACUCAGGUCACUGACUCAUCCAAGUGUUGUU